Molecule: long non-coding RNA, 288 nt
Organism: Trachemys scripta elegans
Lineage: Eukaryota; Metazoa; Chordata; Testudines; Emydidae
Exons: 2
Source: RefSeq, a predicted model, not a curated record
UCAUCCAUUAGGGCGAGAAAUAGACGUCUUGGCAAGGGGCCAUUUCACUUAGCCUGUCUUUCCCCCCCCGGAAUGAUGUGUCGUCUGUGCUAGGAAUGAUGGGGCUAUCGAGCAUUGUGCAAUGGAGACAUUUCUAUGCAAUGAGUAUCAGCUAAUCAAUGGGAGCUCAUCCGGAUUCCAAACUCCAUUCAACAGGAAUGCAGCUCGAUGCUCUGCAGAUUGCAAGUUGCCAAAGUCACAUCUUUAAUAACUUCAGUUUUAUCCAUUUAAUUUUAAAAGAAACCUUAA